UACGUAGGAGGCAAGCGUUGUCCGGAAUUACUGGGCGUAAAGCGCGUGUAGGUGGUGGGACAAGUCUGCUGUGAAAGCGCCUGGCUUAACCGGGCGAGGUCGGCGGAAACUGCCUCACUUGAGGACGGUAGAGGGGGGUGGAAUUCCCGGUGUAGUGGUGAAAUGCGUAGAGAUCGGAAGGAACACCUGUGGCGAAGGCGGCCCCCUGGGCCGGCCCUGACACUGAGACGCGAAGGCGUGGGGAGCGAACGGG
This 253-nucleotide ribosomal RNA is filed under the name uncultured bacterium. Its description in RNAcentral is "partial 16S ribosomal RNA". It matches the Rfam family "Bacterial small subunit ribosomal RNA", at positions 524 to 776 of the family's 1533-position model. The record is from RNAcentral.